AACGAACGCUGGCGGCAGGCCUAACACAUGCAAGUCGAGCGGACCCUUCGGGGUUAGCGGCGGACGGGUGUGUAACGCGUGGGAAUAUGCCCUUCUCUACGGAAUAGUCCUGGGAAACUGGGGGUAAUACCGUAUACGCCCUUUGGGGGAAAGAUUUAUCGGGGAAGUAUUAGCCCGCGUUGGAUUAGGUAGUUGGUUGGGUAAUGGCCUACCAAGCCGACGAUCCAUAGCUGGGUUGAGAGGAUGAUCAGCCACACUGGGACUGAGACACGGCCCAGACUCCUACGGGAGGCAGCAGAGGUGGAUCGUAGACAAUGGGGGGAACCCUGAUCUAGCCAGGCCGCGUGAGUGAUGAAGUCCUUGAGGUUGUAAAGCGCUAUCAGCUGUGAAGAUAAUGACGGUACCAGCAGAAGAAGCCCCGGCUAACUCCGUG
RNAcentral lists this ribosomal RNA (433 nucleotides) under uncultured bacterium. RNAcentral describes it as "partial 16S ribosomal RNA". It matches the Rfam family "Bacterial small subunit ribosomal RNA", at positions 29 to 507 of the family's 1533-position model. The record is from RNAcentral.